UAGAACUAAAAUUAAUGUUAAUGAUGUAAAUCUGUUAUAAACAAAACAUUGUUUUCAAAUUAUAUUUGUGAUGUGUUUAUACAUCCAUUGUUUGCAAUGAUAUUGUUCAAAUGUGUUAAGAAUAUUUCUAUUUGAAGCAAUCUUUGUCGUCCCUCAUUAGAAAAGGACGUUUCAGAAGUUUGUUUUGACUAAUAUGAGACAGUCAAAUAAAAUGUGUUAUUUAAUUGAUAAAGUGCGCAUUAAGAAAGCUUAUAAAGCAGCAGGGACCGUCGGCGCGAGUGAGAACUCUGGAUGUUCAGUUUAGCGAAAGAGUCAAUGCUCGAGAAAUAAAUCGAAAGCGAUAGGUUAGUAAGUAGGUUAAAUGAAGGCGUCACAGACACAGGCUGUUCUGAUGUUGUUAUCUGACCCAAGCAUUCUAAUAUGCGAAUAUUUUCAUAACAGCAUGAGCCGCUUAAAAUGAAGAAAGUUAUCAACAUAACCGAAUGGUCAGGAGCGCUGCUUUCUUUAAUUUUGGUAUAUCUGCGCAUAUCCUUGUUUCGGUUUCUCCCUUUAAAUGCCGAAUACAUACUAUUGAUAUCUGCUGAUAUAGACCGCUAACUCCUCUCGGCAGGCGCAGAACGCAGUUUGCAGUCGGCUGUAGGCAGUGCGGUGUGUUCAAGUGCAGAUUUUUGGUCCGACGCUUUCGACGCGAGGCGACAACAGGCUUUUGUAGCCGCUAAUUCUUUGAUGUCGGCUUGGUGUGUCCCGGCCUUAAGUAUAGUAAUAUUAAGGCCGGGAUACACUAAUUGUUAGGGUGACCAUAUGCCAUUUUCCCCGGACGCGUCCUGGCCAGGAUUUCUAUAUUGAAACACAUGACCAUUGUGCUAGAUCCUGGUCGCCACGACAAACUGCAUAAUUUGCAGCUGCGCACAUUUCUGCGGUUCGAUGCGCGUGAACUGACAGACGCUUGAAAUCAUCAGCGAAGCCCCGUUGUUUCACACUGAGAAGUGUUGUAUUGGACUUGUGGUCUGUCUGGAGAUGGUGAAGGGACGAUCAGCGCUUCGAGGGACAAAUGCUGUACAAUUGAUUUUAUGAUCUGAGUUACAGUUUUUAUCUGCUGCACCUCACUUUCCAGCUGCUUUGCCAUCAGACCUCCAGAAAACCAAUCCACAACAAGAUCCAGUCUAAUGUCAGAAAACGAAAACAUGAAACACAGCUGUGACAUUAUUUACCCAGAGUACAGCCGUUUGCCAAGGGAUUUUUUCAUGCUGAGAUUUAAUCAUCGAAGGUCAUCAGUAAGCACUGAUUAAUGAAUUAAGAUUGCCUGUAUUUGUAAUAUUUUAUGCAUUUUAUCAUUAUUGCAGUGCUUGAGGAAGUUCAUUGUUUGUAUCAGUGCCUGUUGAGAUUCAUAUUGAGGAAUAUGUAAUCUGUUUAUAUAUAAUAUGUAAAGCAUUGCUCUCAAAGAUGUUUUAAAGUAGCACAUUGCUAUCUAAUGUAAACAUGAUGGAAAUUUACUAUCGGUACAAUUUUAUUUUUUAUUUAUUUAUUGAUUAAACUUUAAAGGUGUCGUGUGCAAAUUAAUUUUUUUAUAGCCUACUUAGUGAUCAAAGCUGUUCGUAUUGAGCAGAAUAGACGACAGCAAAAGAUCCAAGAAUGUGAUGCAAAUGAACAGGAAAACGGUAUGCAUUUUGCAUUUUCAUGUUAAUUAUUUAAUCUUGACAAACCAUGCAAUGCAUUUAUUAAAAAUACUCCAGUCCAUAUCACCAGAUUUAAUAUUAGUCAACUGUUUUAAUCAGAAAUAUCCUGUGGUCAAAUGUAAUUUUCAGUGUGUGUCAGGGUAUGUUCUUGUUAUUUUGUCAUCUUAUACAUGUUUUAGAGCAUUAUUUCAGAAAGAAAUGUAUUUAGUUGUCAUCGAAAACAUUUAUUUAAACUUAUUUAGUGUUGCUUUAACUCAAAGUAUUUUUUUCCAGUAUACAUAACACACAAAAUCUAUAUGGAGUUAGUUUGUCUCUUUAAUGUUUACAUGGCUGUAUAAAAUAUUACCAUAACCUAUCUUUACCCAAUUAAAUUUGCACUGUUAA
Onychostoma macrolepis is the source of this 2060-nucleotide long non-coding RNA. RefSeq lists it as uncharacterized. The record is from RefSeq and is a predicted model, not a curated record. Lineage: Eukaryota; Metazoa; Chordata; Actinopteri; Cypriniformes; Cyprinidae. The transcript is spliced from 2 exons.